Molecule: ribosomal RNA, 253 nt
Filed under: uncultured bacterium
Lineage: Bacteria
Description: partial 16S ribosomal RNA
Rfam family: Bacterial small subunit ribosomal RNA
Source: RNAcentral
GACAGAGGGUGCAACCGUUGUUCGGAAUUACUGGGCGUAAAGCGAGUGUAGGCGGUCUGAUAAGUCGGGUGUGAAAGCCCCGGGCUCAACCCGGGAAGUGCACUCGAAACUGACAGGCUAGAGUAUCGGAGAGGUUGGUGGAAUUCUCGGUGUAGAGGUGAAAUUCGUAGAUAUCGAGAGGAACACCGGUGGCGAAGGCGGCCAACUGGACGAAUACUGACGCUGAGACUCGAAAGCGUGGGGAGCAAACAGG